ACGUUUGGGUAAUCGCUGCGGCAGCAAUGCCGUAGAGGAAAGUCCAUGCUCGCACGGUGCUGAGAUGCCCGUAGUGUUCGUGCCUAGCCAAAUCAUAAGCUAGGGCAGUCUGGUUUUAUUACUGGAUUGACGGCAGAAAAAACACCUAAGUUCUUUGGAAUAUGGUGUCAGUAUCUUGAAAGUGCCACAGUGACGAAGCUUUGAAAGAAAUUUCAAAGGUGGAACGAGGUAAACCCCGCGAGCGAGAAACUCAAAUAAUGGUAGAGGCAUUCUUCCUGAGGAAUUCAACAAUGGAAGAGACAGGCUGACUUUUCAACCUGUAGAUAGAUGAUUACCGCCGGAGUACGAGAUUAUCCUAUAUCGCUUGAAGUACAAUGGAACAGAACAUGGCUUAUAAAA
This 399-nucleotide RNase P RNA is filed under the name Bacillus chungangensis. Its description in RNAcentral is "RNase P RNA component class B". It matches the Rfam family "Bacterial RNase P class B". From Rfam's summary of the family: Ribonuclease P (RNase P) is a ubiquitous endoribonuclease, found in archaea, bacteria and eukarya as well as chloroplasts and mitochondria. Lineage: Bacteria; Bacillati; Bacillota; Bacilli; Caryophanales; Bacillaceae. The record is from RNAcentral.